GUAUUCAAGUCAGCAGGGCCUGAUUAAUUUUUUCUUAGAUUACUCAAGGAACUAGCUGAAGCAAUUUUGGAACUGUUAGUUGUUAUCUUCAAGAAUUCAUGGAAGACAAAUGAGGUCCCAGAGGACUGGAAAAGGUCAAACAUUAUACCUGUCUUUAAACGGGGAACAAAGAAGACCCAGGGAGUUAUAAACCAGUCAGCCUAACUUUUAUAUCUGGAAAGAUACUGAAACAAAUUAUUAAAUAAUCCAUUUUUAACCACCUGGUUAGCUGAUAUAGUAAAGUUAUAAGGAAUAGCCAGCAUGGAUUUGUCAAGAAAUCAUGCCAACCAACCUAAUUUCCUCCUUUGACAGAGUUACUGGCCUAGUGGAGCGGGGAAAUCUGUAGACUUUGUAUAUCUUGAUUUUUAGUAAGGCUUUUGCACAAUCCCACAUGAAAUUCUCUAAAGCAAACUUGGGAAAUGUGGUUUAGUUGAAAUUACUGUAAGAUGAGAGCACAACUGGUUGAAAGGCCAUACUCAGAAAGUAGCUAUCAGUGGUUCACUGCCCAACUGGGAGGACGUAUCUAGUAAUGGCUCCAGAACUGACCCCUGAGGAACCUCACUAAUCAAUAUGUUCAUUAGUGACUUCGAUAUGGAAGGGAGAGUAGACAUAUAACAUUUGUGGAGGACUCCAAUUUGUGGGAGGGGUUACUAGAAUUUUUGAGGACAGAGUAUGGGGAGAUUUUGGCAAACCAGUAAAGUGCCUGAAACCACUAUGGCUUAUUGUUAAAGCAACCUAUUAAGCAGUCUCAGCUUGACCAAGGCAGGAGGGGAGGGGAGGGGAUUUGGGGUGCCACAGAAAGGACAGCUUGACCCAGCAUCCUUGCUGAUAAGAAUUGAGUUGAAGUUGCUGAUACACGCAUUUUAAAAGAGCAGGAAUGUCUAUUGGGGACUCAAGGCUGCAAACCCUGGAAAAACCCACACCUGAAGGAACAUCUUGCUUGAUCCUUGAAACUGCUUACUUAACAAGUUUUCUUUAAGGGAUAUGUCAUUCUAUUACUAAUGUGUAAAUAAGAGGAAAAAGUUUGAAAUAGUUGGAUUCAUUUGGGGACUCUUUUUGGACUCUCCCUCUGGAUACAUCUUGCCGUCCCCACCAGCAGACAGAAGAUUUGGCCAAUAGAAGCCUGCUACUUUGUCACUCGAGAGCCACACUCAGCUUUGUGAUCACUACAGCUGAAAUCAUUGAUAGACUGGUCUAGGAGUCUGAGCCUUAGACCUAUGUGGGGACAGUGUUUCAGUAAAAGACAGCAUAGAGGAUGCAGUGGCAGUGAGGUUCCUCCAUACCCAGUGAAGUUACUUGAGCUGAAAUCACUGAAAAGUGGGCUGGGUGGUGGAACCUCAGAACACAGCAUGGUGGACAAAGGCAGCGUAAUGAGAGACACCACAGCACCAGCACCAAAGGUGUCACUACUUGCUGGGCUAGGUGAUUGUGGGCUAUAGGACCAAGGACACAAGAGUACAGAAGCAGUUGGAACAGCAGAGGCAGCAGCAACUAUGGCAAGCAGCAGUAGCUGCCAGAGCAGAAAGCAGCAAGAAGUGGCAGCAGCAACAAAGAGGCAGUGGCAGAGGCACCACUCACAUUCUUCUCAGAAGCUGGAGGUGAAUCCCCUGAAUUCACCCCUGAUCUUCAGGACUUUGCUGACCUUGGACAUCAGACUGUAAACAGUGUGCAGCAAGAGGAAAGAAAAAGUGGCAUGUUAAAGGGACAUUUGUCCACUGGACAUUCAAAAUUUCAAGCCUGGACACUGGAGCCAGUAACCCUCGAACCCAACCAAGACGUGCUCCCAGACCCUGAAGACAGAGAAGGGACCUCUGGUCAACAGCGUCUUUCUAGAGAACCUGGGGGCCCUGGACAGCGUUGCAUCAGACGAGAAAGAUGAACCGGACCUGUCUUGUUUUUGCUCAACACCAGUCCUGAGGGCUGUGCCAUGACUGUGAGACUUGAACUUCUGAGGCUAUAAACUGCAAGCUCCAGGACCCCUGUGCUGAACUGUGUUUUAAAAGUUUUUUGAACACUAUUGCCACAGAUUAUGCAAUGCAAUAACUGUGCUUAACUCAAGAACAUUUAGCACAAGGGGUGACCUUGGUAAAUGUUGUGCAAUUCGGUCGAGACCCUGACAGUAUUUUUUUAAAAAUGACCAAACUGGAGGAUGUCUGCUCAAAGCAUUAUACUGAUCGUCUGGGCUGCACAAAAAGUUACAGAGCCCUGCUUAGGAAAAAACAUUUGUAAGAAAUCUAAAAAGAUUAAGUUAGAGAACGGUGAGGGAACAAACGUGAUAUAAAACUUGGUGCCUAUAACUAGCUGUAUUUCUGUUAGAAGGUCUGUGUGGCGCUUAAAUAAGAUAAAUAUUUUUAUGGAGCAUCCUGGUUUGUUGUCAAGGAGAUGUAUGUCUUUUAAAUAAAUACAAAAAUAGUUUGUGAGAACCUAGCUCUUGUGUCUUUGUAUAAAAGACUCAUUUACAGCAAAAGCUGAAAGGUGUGUAGUAGACUCUUGUGGGGGGAAAAAAACAAAAAAUGCAUUUAAAAUAAAAGCAAAUAAAAAAGCUUCUAUAUUAUAUAUAAAACGGGGAUGUUUGAGUACAAUAGAGCUGUCUCCACCUGUUGAGCUGAUGGUUUAAACAUACCCCCACUGAAUAGCAAGGAUGAUUCCUUUGCCUUAAGGAGUCUGUAGUCCACCUUUGUUUCCAUCAGUUUGAUGGAUGUACACCCACAGUAACGAGGUUGGGUGGAGAUGUGAAGCUCUGAUUAAUAUUAAAUGAAAUAAAACCUCAGGAGUUUGUAGAUGCUAUUGGAUGGUUUAAAUAUUACCCCAGGAGGUGGUUGAACACUAUGUGUCACACAUUUUAGCGACUCAUAGUCAUUAAAAGUUUAAAAUAAUAUAGUUACAAAAAGAAUCAAGGCUCUAACCCCAAACUGAAAUGUUUCAAGGGUUCACAACCUCUAACACACUGACAUGCAUCUGAAGAAGUGGGUAUUCACCCACGAAAGCUCAUGCUCCAAAACGUCUUUUAGUCUACA
Gopherus evgoodei (Goodes thornscrub tortoise) is the source of this 3056-nucleotide long non-coding RNA. RefSeq lists it as uncharacterized. NCBI's taxonomy places the organism in Eukaryota, Metazoa, Chordata, Testudines, Testudinidae. The record is from RefSeq and is a predicted model, not a curated record. The transcript has 4 exons.